This is an RNA transcript of Triticum aestivum (bread wheat), 3026 nucleotides long. It is a transcript of the gene named homeobox protein Nkx-2.3, with no coding region annotated. The transcript is spliced from 3 exons. Lineage: Eukaryota; Viridiplantae; Streptophyta; Magnoliopsida; Poales; Poaceae. The record is from RefSeq and is a predicted model, not a curated record.
CCACUCCCCCCCCCCCCCCCCGCCGCAUUCUCGUCCGCCCCGGGUGCGGAGGCGAGCUUCCCGGCGACGGUGGCGCUGGCUCGACGCGGGGGAGCGGCCGAUGCGGGGUCGGUUGGAUCGAGGCGUGGGAGCGGCGGAUGCGGCGGCGGCGGCACGAGAAGUGCAACGGCGGCGGCGUCGACCUAUGAAGAGGCGAGAGGAGCGGUGGUGGCGGCGUCGAGCUGCGAAGAGGCGCCGCUCGGGCGCGAGACCACGGAGGCGGGAGCGGCUGCUUCGGGCCCUGAUAUGAGAGGGUACGAGGCAGGGAAGGACAGCAUCGUCGCCGUCACAGGGGAGCAUUAGGCCUCCUAUGGUCUGGAUUUCUCCAAAUGACCAGGCUUUGCGAAAAUUGUAUACGCAUGUCUUACAGCCUAGGUAUUCCUCUUCUAGAUAUACUCUAUUGUUUUUGUUCACUUACUUCUAAUGAGUAUUUAAACUUCUUCAAGCAUAUUGGACUUUUGAACCUAUGUAGCCAGCUCUUUGGAAUUUAUCUAGACAAGUAUUUUUGGUAAUGAUAUGUAUUUGCAAGCUUACUUCUCAGUUUUUUCUAUUGUUGGGUACAUAUAGAUAAUUUCGUUGGGUAUCUACAAAGUACAUAUAGAUAAUUUUCGACCAUUUGUGACUGAAAGAUUUUUGCCAUAAUAAAAUUAACUCUGUCGAGCAGUGCUCGUUGUGAAGGAAAUGACGGGAAAUUGCUGAGCCUUAUUGGUUGGAAGAGGAAUGCUAAUCCUACAAAUAGAUCUAUAAUGAAUUAGACUUGAGAACAAUCACCAAAUAAUAAACAGUCCCAAAUUUGUAGAUGUUGUUUGAUUCAAAUACCGAUUUGAGCAUUUGGCGCAUCUAAAAUUCAUCAAAAAGGAUGCGUGAUUUUCUGCCUAAUCACUUAGUGUACUGUUUGGUAAUCAGGUUAUCCUGGACCUCUUUGGGGACAAAAUCACCAAGUUUUCUUCUUAUUGCACAGCAAGUUAAAAAAAGUCAGUGGCUAAUGACUCUUCUUAUCUCUCUGUUCACUGAUGUGCUUAGCUGCAAAAAUUCUAAAAAGAUGCGCCUAAUGAGGGGGUGGUGGAUGUGCGUCCUCUAGGGCCUCGUCGGCCAGAGAAGGAGGGGAGGAGCGGUUGCCGACGAGCGAGGUGGCUCUGUUUGGACCGGCCAUGGUGUUGGCUGUUGACUCCCACCGGUCUUGUCUCCCCCAACCCUUCCAUGGAGCUCGCUUAGCCACCGGCUAGCACAUCUUCUUCUCGCUCACAGCACCAAGGCCAUGUGUAGCUUACUUUUUAACUGUUAUUGCUGAUUGGAGCCAUUGCUAUUGGCUAUUUAUACAUAAGAUGGAAGGUGAAUUGAGAUUUUUGUGAGGGGGAUUGGAUUUUAUCCAGAUGGCUUGCUUCUCGUGAUGAGACUGAUACUAAUGAACUAAUGAAGACAUGAAGGUUGCAUCUUAUCCCCAUUUCCCUUUCUACAUUUGCCAUUUAGUCAAUUAACAUACAUUGUACUAUUUCCCUUUCUACAGUUGCCAUUUAGUUGAUUAACAUAGAUUGUACUAUUUUCGGUUAAGCACACUGUGGGUCAAUGAAUGUGGAAUUAGCUACUUUUUAUAUCCCUAGACCAUAUAUAUUACAUGCAUCAGUACUUGAUGCAUCUCUGAUAUGCUUUUGCUUUUUAUUGUUACCCUUAAUUUCUACUUUUCUAUGAACCCAACGUUUAGGUUGCAGGCUCAACUGCAUAUCUAUAUUCUCUGUAUGAAUUUUUUAGCUAGCUUUGAAGCGAAUGUGGUGAUCAAGGCUCUAAUAUGUAUUCUUUAUUUGCAUGAAUGUUGUGUGCAUAUAGGUACUUGCAAUGGAAUCUUUUUCUCAUAGACGAGAAGUACUUUGAAAACAGAUUUUAAAAAUUGAUAUAAUUUUACAAGUGUACAGAUAGCUGACAAGGCAACAAUGCUAUUGUUCAAAUGUAGUCGAGCCGGGCUUUUGGUGUUUUUGGUGCUAUUGUUCAAAUUUUGCUUUCUUAGAUUCAUUGCAACCAAAAGAUUUGGUAAUAUUUUUUUUCUGGAAACAUGGAUACACUUGUUGGUGUUGUAUACUGGAAUCUGGUGUUGUAUACAUGGAUACACAGCUAUAUUCAAAUGGAUCAUAGGCCCAAUAAAACAUCAUUUUACUUCAAAAUCUAAUAUACGUUUUAUUUAUUUUCCUGUUGCAUAUACAGGCAACUCUUCCUGUUGCAUCAAAAGUAACUUGCUUCGUACAUGCAAACUAAUUAGCCAUAUAGUUAAAUUAGCUACGUAUUAAGAUUCGGUACAUCUACUGCUUAUUUAUGUUGUGUACUAUUUGUUGUGUCCAAUCUUUAUGCGCUUGUUAUUUUUAUCACACUGUAAUCAAACUUCUGUUGUUAUAGCAAUACGAAAUCCUAUGCAUCAAACUUCUGUUCUUAUAGCAAUUACAGUUUUGAUACCUCUGUUUCUUUAUAUCAUCUUGUUGGGUUUCUGUUUCUCUUCAUAUAGGAUACAAAUAUGUGAUUCUCAUGUGGUCCUUUCGCUGGAAAUUUGCUAAUCUUAGGGGUGCUGCUACAGAUGUAAAAGCCGUUUUAUCAAAAGAACUAAAGUAGUAGCUAAUCCAAGCAUUGAAGAAUUGACGCAGAGAUUACGCUAUAUUAGCAUGAAGUCAGAGCAGCGCGUGAAGACUACAUAAGAUAGUUUCUGGUGACCUUCAGUCUAUAUGUCCUAACAAACAACAGCCACCUUUUAUUUCGGUAUCAAUCGAUCCAGUAUCUUUCCCUUUUUGGCGUUGCUCUGAGCAAGAUAUGUAUAGCCUUUAGAUUUCCAUUCAUGUAUGAUACUACAUGUACACUUUAGACCUCAUUCUUGUCUCUGCGGUCUAAAGAAUGUUCUAUAUAUGUAAUUAACUGCCCUUCUACUAAUAUAUUCAGAAGACUAUUUAUGUAUGUUUACACUGGUUAGAGAAAAUCAUCACACUGCCAGCAGCAGUUUUUUAUUUCCA